This is a non-coding RNA of Chelonoidis abingdonii (Abingdon island giant tortoise), 5088 nucleotides long. The record is from RefSeq and is a predicted model, not a curated record. Lineage: Eukaryota; Metazoa; Chordata; Testudines; Testudinidae.
AAUCCUUUACUAUCUGUUUGGGUGUCACAUGUAGGUUAGCUAUGAAACAAGUGGCACCACGUGGGAUGGUUCAAGUGUGAACUCCUUCCUCCUCUCUUUGGUUGCUGGAAGCAAACUCUCCUUUGCUUUCUCUUGCUACUUUCUAAGCACCUAUUUCCCAUUUUCCUGUACUCACAUGCCUUGUUAUAGCAGCAAGGCCAAUGCAAGAGCAUUCAAUGUUGAACAUUCGGGAUAUAAGAAUGAUUGCAGUUAUAAGACCUUAGCAUAGAAGUUAAACAAGAACUACACAGUAGCUCUAUUCAGAUGUACAUUUACCACAGUAUGCUAUGUAAACCAUCAUUUAUUCCAUACAAAGAACUAAGUUAGAAGAAUGUUAAAUUUCAAAGUUAAGCACACAUGCCAUCACUGAGGUUUUUCGGCAAUUUUUAGGUCUGUCACUUUGUGUAUAUUCAUUAUGUUGUCUAAAUUAAAUGAACACAUACUAUUUCCUCAAUAAAAUAUAAUACAAUUCUACAAACUUAGAUACAAAUAUAACUUCUUGUUACUACUCUGGGUAUGCCAGAAUACAGAAUAUGGAAAAAUAAACAGGUAAUGACAUAUCCAAAUAGAUCUGAGUGGAUUUCACAGCACAUGUUGAGAGACUUGUUUUCACUCUAGUUCAGAACUAAAUCUGAAAAUCCUGAAAUUUUCUGAAAUAAAAUAAAGAUAUCCUUCUCCAUUGAAAUGUUUUGCUUUGAUAAAAUCAAAAUAAUUGUUUCAAUUUCGAUUUUGUCAAAUUUUAUAUAAAUAUAUAUUCAAAAUUUUAAAAAUUAAAUCAAAGUCACUUCAAAAAGGUAUACUGAAAUGUUUUGUACUGAAAAUGUCAACACUGGAUGUUUUUGCAUUGUUAGCACCUUUUUUCUACAAUAAAACUUUGGUAUGAGCUACACAAUUUUGUGAAGUGUUUCAAUUUUGAUGGGACUCAAUUUUUCAACAAAAAAACAUUGUGUCAAUUUUUUUUCUAACCACUCUACACCCAAAGGUAUAUCAGUUGGAUAUAUUUUUACUUUCUGUCCCUAGUUGUUUGGGACAGUAAAUCUGUCCCAAAAUUACUGUAAAUACUUUUUAAUAGGAUAGAUAGAUAGAUAUUUAAAUUAUGCUUAUAUGCCAAUGAUUAGUUUCAAAUUUUUCUCAAUAAUUCAUUUUAGGGCAAAGUCCAAGCUUGAAAUUUUUGAGCAUGAAAAGUAAAUUUCACAAAGUUAUGAGUGGCUUAAAACAGAGGGUUAGGAUGGAAACUGUUAUGUGACCUUACUGAUAACAUCACUGCUACUAUAGUUUAAGUAUCAGAGAGGUAGCUGUGUUAGUCUGGUUCUGUAAAAAGUUCCUGCUAUAGUUUAAAGCUAUACUUGCUUUACAGUGUAAGAACACGAUGUAACUUUGUCCUAAAAGUCUUCUAGACUGUUUUACACUGUCCGUUGUUUCCACGGAGAAGGAACACAGUGUAAUAGAAAGAUAGUGAAGCACACUGUGGUGAAAAAAAGGACAGGGAAUUUGUGCUGCUCUAGGAGAAUAACAGAAACACUAUGAAACCAGAUAUUUUGCUGUAUCUCAGGGGUAAAGUGCACUUUACUGUUCUGAAUUUUGCAAGAACAGAAGGUUGUAAAGUACCAGGAGUUAAAUGGGACUGUCAUGUAGAGUGCUGGGGUCUAUCAACCCUCACAGUACAAGUGGAGCGCUGAAGAUUCACAGGAUAAUUCUUGCAGGAAGGGAAGGAGUUUUGGAUUUCAGGCAAUAUAUUGCCAUUUCUAUAAAGUGUUCAGGGUUAAAACAGGGCUUAACAUAUGUUUUUAAACAUACAGGCCAAGAUUUUCAAAAGUGGUUAGUAUCUUUGUAUACCUCAGAUUUUGGAUGUUCAACAUGGAACACUUUAAAGGGGUCUGAUGAUUAGAAGGUGCAUUUUCAACAGCAGGAAAGAAAGAUACAUAAUCUGCAUGAUUCUGGAGCACUGUGGUGAUGCACUUCCUGAGAUACUUCUAAUUCUCGUCCUGUGAGUUGUCCUAGUGGCAGCUCUUGGGCUGAUAAGGAAAGGUUUGCAUUGAGAGAUCUUAUAGGGGGCAGAUUUUAUUUAGGUUCUGCUGUAAACCCCAGCAGAUGCCCUGCUCAGCGGAGAUUUCUCAUUCACUUCAAUAACUUUUUUAUAUUUACUUUCAUCACAAAUGUAGAGCCUACUCCUCAGUGAGGACUAUUUACAUGCAAAGUCUGGAGGUUUUAGUUAAACACAAUCAAUCACCAAUUUAUCAAAUAUCAAUGGUUAAUAAUAUAGCUGUUUCAUGGCUGCCAUGUUUUUCCUUCACUUCUGAUGAAACCCUUCUUCUUGUCAUCAAAGAAAUUCAUUGGGUCCAGAGAGAUGAAGUGAGACUAGUGAUAUUUCUAGUGAGGCUUACAGUUCCAAUACGCCAGCCUCAAGCAUUCAGAAAUCAUUAGUCAAGUCUCAAAAGAUCAUGAGAUUAUGAGCUUGAAAAAUCAUACUUUUAAAAAAAUAAUAAACUUGGAGUUCUUUUUAAUUUUCUUCCGGUUUCUGAGCCUUAUUCAGGUCACACUUUCAAGGUGCACUCAGGUCACACUUUCAAGCUUUUCUUCACAACCAAGAGGGCUAAAAUGAAAAAGAGAAAACAGAUUCUCACAGAAUCAUUUAAAGACAGGAGCUGGGGUUCUACGAAAAAUAUUGUGAGACUCUAAAUAAAAUCAUGGUAAAAUUUCAUGAACUGCAACAUUGCAGUUCUUUACAGAAGUAAUUUGAUUGGCCUUUUGCCUUGAGUUUUAAAUCUUCUUCUCUUGCCUGCAUCUUCAUUAUCUUCACCACUAACUUGUUGGUUUUGCAGUUCAGCAGAACUUUAGUAAUGUUCUCAGAAGAGCUAUUUAUAUACUGUGACAUUUUUCAAAGUGCUGCUUGUUCUUCCAUGCUCUCUACAUACCUAAUGAAAAGGUAAGUAAGUAAGAAAAGUGCUUAACUAUUCAUGAAAUGUUUAAACAGAAAAUGGAACAGCAAUUCUCAUUAAUUCCAUCAUAUACUAUUAUUUUAAAUGUAUUUAAAUGCAAUGCUGUAUUGUUCCAGGCAGCUGCUAAUGUCCAUCUCCUGGGCUGCAAUAAGAGGAAACAUAAGCUGGUUAGAAAAUCUGUCAGAAGCAGGGAUUCACAGAUUGCAGGAGUGGACUAUUAACAAAUUUGCCCCUAACAUUUCCUACUGUUGUAAUAGCGAAUGACCAAGCUGCAGCAUCUUAUCCUUCAGGUUUUUUUGUUUCUGCUGUAAUAACAAAGCUGAGUGGCAUGUACCCUGUUUGCAUAGUGGGUCUUAUUGUCAUUGUCACUGAAGAAAAAUGAAUGCUUGUAAUGCCCCUGGGUUAAUACGUAGUUUCUGAAACUCAAGACCAUUCCAAGCCUUUUUAGAGUCUGAACUGACUUUGAGUUGUGUAUGCAUUUCCCUAAUUUUAUAAAAUCACUCACUGAAGCAAUGUGGUGCUCACCUAGCUUGUCUUUAUGCCUUCUUCCAUUAAGUAUAAUCUUUUGGAGACUUAAUUAUGAUGCAUCAAAUGGCUGUAUGCAAAUGUGGUGUUCUAUCUCUCUGCCCUGUCUUGAUUUGUGUUGGUGACAAUGUAAUGUAACUUUCAGAGCCUGAAAAUUUUCAGAUAUGUAAUUAUGAUUACAAACAUUUCUUACCAUUAUUUAGAAUACUCCAGCCAAGGGAGGAUGGACAAUCUUAUGACUAAAACACAGGGCUUCUGAAUUCUUCUUAGCUCUUUUACAGAUGUCCUGAAUGAAACUGGGUGAAUCAUUUGGCCUGUCUGAACCUUCAUUUCUUUAUCGUUAAAAUAAGAAUAAGAUUUCCCUUCCUUAUAUACAGAAAACAGUCUUGGUAUUCGUGUUCUUUCAAUCUUUUCUUAACAAUUCUAGCUGAAAGUAUUUAGGAUAUCCAUUGGCAUUACUCUUAUUAAUAGUGGGAUUUUGAAAAAGCAGCCAGAAUAAAAUACUAUGCUGUACAACUACAACCUUUGUCUUUAAAGAAUGAAAAUAACUUUCAUGUUAUUGCUUCACUUAUGUCCAGCAACAACUGCUUCUAAUUUGGUUGUCAUAACAACCACAUCUCAGCUUUCACAUUUCUCACCUUUGUGCCCAGUUUGUUUAUAAAAGGUCACGUCAGACCUGUUCCAUGUUACCUCUACAUCCUUAUAUCAUUCGCAAAACCAAAUAUAAACAGACACCUUAGCGAAGACCAAAGUAAGGAAUGCAGGAUACGUCAAUAUUUAUGUUGGAAAAUGUCAGUCAUAAUGAAAAAAAUUAACUUUGAAAGUAUUUAAAGUCCAAAAUAUAAUUUAGGGCAACAUUCUAUGUCUCGGUACUGUCAGUAACUGUAAGAAAUCUAAAUUCUAAGAAAUUUGGACAAUCUCAAUUCAAGUACACUGUGUACUCACAUUUUUCAUAUUAAUUACAUAGGAAUUACUAUACUGGCUCAGAACAGUAGUCCAUCUAGUCCAGUGGCCUGUCUCCAACAGUACCCAAGACCAGAUGCUUCAGAGUAAAAAUGAGUGAAAUUCAGAACUUCGAUCUCACGGGAAAUUCUGACACUUAGUUUUCAUUCUAAAUCAGGACAAAAUACUGAGAUUUUUGACAUUUUUCUGCAACACAAAUUCUGAACAUUUUUGAUUUUGAAAUGUGGAGGUGGUCUCUAAUUCAGGUUUUACUGUUUCAUUUAAAUUUAUCCACUAGAAACUUUUUAUGUUUGGAAAAUGUUUUAAUUUUACAGUAACUGCAUUCUCAACUGGAAAAAUCAUUCUCAUGGAAAAUUCCCAACCAGCUCUGCUUCAGAACAAGGGUUAAAACUUCCAUAAUGGACAAUUAUGGAAUAAUAAUCUUACGAUGGGAGUUUCUUAGCCACAGUGCUUGUCUUAUCUCUUACAUCAGGAUGUAUAUCCCUUGUAAAUGUUUAUUUUAGCUAGUGUAAAUCGUGAUUAUAUACAGAGCUUAAUUUGUCAGUGCUAAGCCUUGGCACCUCUAGGCUUGGCACUUCAUAGCUCUGGCAACUCUGGGCUUGCUGCAUCAGUUAUGAAUGUA